This 379-nucleotide ribosomal RNA is filed under the name uncultured eukaryote. RNAcentral describes it as "partial 18S ribosomal RNA". It matches the Rfam family "Eukaryotic small subunit ribosomal RNA", at positions 592 to 975 of the family's 1831-position model. The record is from RNAcentral.
CAAUAGCGUAUAUUAAAGUUGUUGCGGUUAAAAAGCUCGUAGUUGGAUUUCUGCUGAGAACGACCGGUCCGCCCUUUGGGUGUGUAUCUGGCUCUUUCUUGGCAUCUUCUUGGUGAACGUUGCUGCACUUGACUGUGUGGAGCGCUACCCAGGACUUUUACUUUGAGGAAAUUAGAGUGUUUCAAGCAGGCAUACGCCUUGAAUACAUUAGCAUGGAAUAAUAAGAUAGGACCUCGGUUCUAUUUUGUUGGUUUCUAGAGCUGAGGUAAUGAUUAAUAGGGAUAGUUGGGGGCAUUCGUAUUUAACUGUCAGAGGUGAAAUUCUUGGAUUUGUGAAAGACUAACUUCUGCGAAAGCAUUUGCCAAGGAUGUUUUCAUUA